CCUACGGGAGGCAGCAGUGGGGAAUAUUGCACAAUGGGCGAAAGCCUGAUGGAGCAACGCCGCGUGCAGGAUGAAGGCCUUCGGGUUGUAAACUGCUUUUAUAAGCGAGAAAUAUGAUGGUAACUUAUGAAUAAGGAUCGGCUAACUACGUGCCAGCAGCCGCGGUCAUACGUAGGAUCCGAGCAUUAUCCGGAGUGACUGGGUGUAAAGAGUUGCGUAGGUGGCAUAAUAAGUAGCUAGUGAAAUCUGGUGGCUCAACCAUUCAGACUAUUAGCUAAACUGUUAAGCUCGAGACCGUUAGGGGUAACUGGAAUUUCUAGUGUAGGAGUGAAAUCCGUAGAUAUUAGAAGGAACACCAAUAGCGUAGGCAGGUUGCUGGGACGGUUCUGACACUAAGGCACGAAAGCGUAGGGAGCAAACGGGAUUAGAUACCCAUGUAGUC
RNAcentral lists this ribosomal RNA (442 nucleotides) under uncultured bacterium. RNAcentral's name for it is "partial 16S ribosomal RNA". It matches the Rfam family "Bacterial small subunit ribosomal RNA", at positions 338 to 795 of the family's 1533-position model. The record is from RNAcentral.